RNA transcript from Actinia tenebrosa (Australian red waratah sea anemone), 301 nucleotides. RefSeq lists it as uncharacterized. NCBI's taxonomy places the organism in Eukaryota, Metazoa, Cnidaria, Anthozoa, Actiniaria, Actiniidae. The record is from RefSeq and is a predicted model, not a curated record.
GUCAGAUGGCAUCAGUUUGACGUUCAAAAUGUCAACGCAGACAGAGGCUUGUCGGACCAAGAGUUGCAACCAUCGUCACCCUUGACAACAACCUUUCGUUCUAGUUACAAAGGUGAACACGGUGCUCCUGCUCUUAGCUGUCGCCCUAAAUGAUCUGCCCAACCUCCUCAUAGACCAGGACCAAGUGGAUAUUCAAUAGACUUUGCAGCCAAACCGUUGAAAAAGAGGUCUCCCCCACCAACGAGAAGAGGCAACGUACUGGACACUUAUCCAAGGAACGUGCUCCUACCAUACACACGAC